Long non-coding RNA from Zingiber officinale, 269 nucleotides. RefSeq lists it as uncharacterized. NCBI's taxonomy places the organism in Eukaryota, Viridiplantae, Streptophyta, Magnoliopsida, Zingiberales, Zingiberaceae. The record is from RefSeq and is a predicted model, not a curated record. The transcript is spliced from 3 exons.
CUCUUUGGAUAAGGUAUUUGUGAAUGACCAAUUCCUCAACUGGGAUCCCGAGCAUCGAAUCAAAGUUCAAAUUGUCUCUGCAAGGGCCUAUCAUUCCCUGUUCAUGCACAACAUGUGCAUCCGUCCUACGCCAGAAGAAUUAGAGGAUUUCAGUACUCCGGACUUCACAAUUUACAAUGCUGGCUAGUUUCCAUGUAAUCGAUACACACACUACAUGACUUCAGGGCGGCAGUUCGGUCGGGAGGCAUGCCGUCUACUCAUUCCUCUGU